CCUAACAUUAGAUGCCUUGAAGGUGUGGCUGCUGUGUCACAUGUGCUUGAGAAGGUGACAGAGAGGAAAGGGUCUUUGUCUACACUCAGUAUUAUGACCUAUGAAUAUCUGAAUAAUUAGUAGACUAACUAA
Small nucleolar RNA from Grammomys surdaster, 132 nucleotides. RefSeq annotates it as small nucleolar RNA SNORA17. The record is from RefSeq and is a predicted model, not a curated record. The transcript has a single exon. Lineage: Eukaryota; Metazoa; Chordata; Mammalia; Rodentia; Muridae.